AAUCAUAUCGCAAGCAUAAACAUGUAUUUCGAAUCCCCCCUAGCCAAGGGGGGGUUUAGUUCCUCAUAUGCACAAAACAAAGAGAAUUGAAUUUAAAACAUUGAAAUCAAAGGAAAAGAAACACCUAGAAAUUCCAGCGACGCGAACUUGAAUGGCAUGAACUUCCGAGCUUCCUUCUCCUCCUCCUUGGUGCGGCAAAGGGUCUAGGGACAGGUUUAGGACCUUAGGUGUAUGGAUGCAUGGUUAUGGAUGGAUGUAGUAGUGUUUAGGGGAUGGGGAUGGUGCGGCAAAGGGGUGAGAGGUGUUUGGACGCAUUUCUGAAUUUGUGGAAUGAAUGAAUGUGUAUGAGAGGUGGUGUGAAUGAAUGGGUGCGGCACCAUGUAUUUAUAGGGUCCUAAAAGUCUAGCAAAUCAGAUUAGGACUUGGAGGAUUAAAUCCCAUCAGGAAAGGGCUUAAAACAAUCAGAUUUUGGGUAGGAAAGGUCCUCCUAGGUGCGGCAGGGAUGGAUUAGAGGGAUAAGGCUUCUAGAUGGCCUUGCAAGGCAAGGAAAUCAGUUUUCUAGAAGGGAUAGGUGCGGCACUAAAGGAUAGGGCAGAUUAGGGCUUCUAGAAACCCUCUAAUGCAAGGAAAACUCACAGCAAGGAUGGAUAAGGUUUCUAGAACAAGGAUGAGGUAUCCUAAAUGGAUAAGGUGCCCUAAAUGGAUAAGGAUUCCUCAUUGCACUUGGAAACUUUGCUUAUUAGGAUUAGGAAACCUUGUCUUUGUCAUUCCUUCUUCAUCUUGGACUCCUUUUCCUUCUUGGACUUGGAAAACUUCUUUGUUGCUUCA
This 828-nucleotide long non-coding RNA is filed under the name Malus domestica (apple). RNAcentral's name for it is "long non-coding RNA (MDOM_LNC010461)". Lineage: Eukaryota; Viridiplantae; Streptophyta; Magnoliopsida; Rosales; Rosaceae. The record is from RNAcentral.